AUACGGAGGAUGCAAGCGUUAUCCGGAUUUAUUGGGUUUAAAGGGUGCGUAGGCGGUUUGCUAAGCGGGAGGUGAAAUGUCGGCGCUCAACGUCGGAAGUGCCUCCCGAACUGGUGGACUGGAAUGACUCUGCCGUGGGAGGAAUGUGUAGUGUAGCGGUGAAAUGCUUAGAGAUCACACAGAACACCGAUUGCGAAGGCAUCUCACGAAGGGUUGAUUGACGCUGAGGCACGAAAGCGUGGGGAUCAAACAGGAUUAGAUACCCUGGUAGUCCACGCAGUAAACGAUGAUGGCUAACCGCUGGUUUAUUCGGAUCAGUGGCCAAGCGAAAGCGAUAAGCCAUCCACCUGGGGAGCACGACCGCAAGGUUGAAACUCAAAUGAAUUGACGGGG
Molecule: ribosomal RNA, 393 nt
Filed under: uncultured bacterium
Lineage: Bacteria
Description: partial 16S ribosomal RNA
Rfam family: Bacterial small subunit ribosomal RNA
Source: RNAcentral